Molecule: unclassified non-coding RNA, 213 nt
Filed under: plant metagenome
Description: partial contains small subunit ribosomal RNA, internal transcribed spacer 1, and 5.8S ribosomal RNA
Source: RNAcentral
UCUCCGUUGGUGAACCUGCGGAAGGAUCAUUAAUAAUAAGUGUUUUAUGGCACUUUUUUAAAUCCAUAUCCACCUUGUGUGCAAUGUCAGGGUUGAUUUUUCUCUCGAGAGGAUCAACCCCAAACAUCAACUAUAUCUCAACUCUUUGUCUGAAAAAUAUUAUGAAUAAAACAAUUCAAAAUACAACUUUCAACAACGGAUCUCUUGGCUCUC